AUAUGAAGUUAGUUGCUAUCUAGAUGACUUGCCUUUGUUCUUCCCCUUGAUUAUAUCUUGUUGACAAUGAUUUAGCUUAGAUUUAACUCAUGAUACCAUGUUCAAUCUUAGGCUAUUGUAUAUUGUCAUUUAGCCAAUGUUACUUUUAUUUCUUUUCAACAAGUAACCCCCCGUCCUUGUCUAGUCGGAAAACACCUAUUCUGAAAAUAGCAUGUCGUUUAAUUUAGUCAUUGGUUUGGUAUUACUAUUCAAUAGUGCUAAUUCUCUCUGGAUAUUUUAUUUAUUUAUGUUGGUUUGUGCUAGUGUCCAGCAUAAUAGUUUGAGUCAUAAUUGUUCUUAUUUAUUUUUAUUUAUUUAACCAUUUCUAGUCUCUUUUCUCUCAUUUGCCUCUAAUGGUCUAGUAUACUACUGCCUCCAGUGGUCUAGUAUACUACUGCCUCCAAUGUUUGUGUUUAUUUUAUCGUGAUGAAUUAGCAUUGUUAGAUUGUAUUGGAAGAGCUAUUCUUACUAUAGCAUAAGUUAUUUGAGAUCAUAAUGAUUGGGCCAUUUUUUACUUGAUGUCUUUUCUUUAUAUUAAAUUAUCAAUGGAUAUACUUAUGUAUUUCUUUUGUUUUCUGAUGCAUGUGAUUUGUUGAUGAAUCCUUUGGGACUUAGGCCUUUACCCUCGCAUUACUAAGGGGCCAUUAAGGCCCGACGUCCUCUCUUCCUUGAGUCAACUAUCAUGGAAAAUUAGGGAAGCAGGCGCAUAGGUUGAAAAUCGAUGAAUACAGGCUGAAAACGGGAUUUUCAUGUUCCGGAAAUUCGAAAACAAACUGAAAUACAGCUUGUAUACAGAGGUAUACGUCAAUAUGCAUGAUGAAAUACAGUAUACAGGUGCAGAAAUAGGGAAAUACAGGUCAAAAAGACAGAAAUACAAAGUGCAAACAAAAUAUAGGUUUCGAAAAACCUAAAAAUAGGUUGGAUACGGCUCGUAUACAGUGGUAUACAUAAAACGUAUACACAGAUUUUCUAAAGGCUGACAGGCCCAAAGACCUUAAGCCAUUUCCAACAGGGCUAGGUGGCAGAGAAAAAAAAUGGGCCCAAAGUCCAUUUGAAAAUUCAGCAGAAUAGAGGAGAGUUUAAAUGGGCCCAAGUCCAUUAUUUGGACCAAAUUUAGACUUAGGACAGGUGGGCCAAAAGCCCAAUUUAAUUGGAUUUGGGCCAAAAUCCAACUCUAAUUAUUUCCUUUCCCUCUCUUAUUUAUUUUAUCGUAUUUGACUAACACUUUGAUUAUCUUAUGGUUCAAUUUAAUUAAAUUCCCAAGGAUGGUCAUUUCAUUUUAUUUUCAAAUUAAAGUACAUAUAUUUUAUUACUUGGUUCUUAUUUUAA
RNAcentral lists this long non-coding RNA (1368 nucleotides) under Solanum tuberosum (potato). RNAcentral describes it as "long non-coding RNA (STUB_LNC004425)". Lineage: Eukaryota; Viridiplantae; Streptophyta; Magnoliopsida; Solanales; Solanaceae. The record is from RNAcentral.